CUUUACUAUAACUUUACAGUGGCACGUCGAUUGUUUUGUGCAGCAUAGGUGGGAGCCUUUGAAGCCGUCACGUCAGUGGCGGUGGAGGCACAGGUGAGAUACCACCCUGAAUUUUUGCCGUGUCUAACCUCGUCCCGUUAUCCGGGACAGGGACCCUGUAUGGUGGGUAGUUUGACUGGGGCGGUCGCCUCCCAAAUUGUAACGGAGGCGCGCGAUGGUGAGCUCAGGACGGUCGGAAAUCGUCCUUCGAGUGCAAUGGCAUAAGCUCGCUUGACUGCGACACUGACACGUGGAGCAGAGACGAAAGUCGGUCAUAGUGAUCCGGUGGUUCCUCAUGGAAGGGCCAUCGCUCAACGGAUAAAAGGUA
Molecule: ribosomal RNA, 367 nt
Filed under: uncultured organism
Description: bacterial LSU rRNA
Rfam family: Bacterial large subunit ribosomal RNA
Source: RNAcentral